GUGGAUUAGAUACCCUGGUAGUCCACGCCCUAAACGAUGUCAACUAGGUGUUGGGAGGGUAAAACCUUUUAGUACCGGAGCUAACGCGUGAAGUUGACCGCCUGGGGAGUACGGCCGCAAGGUUAAAACUCAAAGGAAUUGACGGGGACCCGCACAAGCGGUGGAUGAUGUGGAUUAAUUCGAUGCAACGCGAAAAACCUUACCUACCCUUGACAUGUUCAGAAGUCUUGAGAGAUUGAGAUGUGCCCGAAAGGGAACUGGAACACAGGUGCUGCAUGGCCGUCGCCAGCU
RNAcentral lists this ribosomal RNA (291 nucleotides) under uncultured bacterium. Its description in RNAcentral is "partial 16S ribosomal RNA". It matches the Rfam family "Bacterial small subunit ribosomal RNA", at positions 773 to 1060 of the family's 1533-position model. The record is from RNAcentral.